GCUAGAGUGGCAGAACCCGGUUUUGCGAAAGGCCUAAGCCCUUUAUACGGAGGCUCAAAUCCUCCCCCUAGCU
RNAcentral lists this transfer RNA (73 nucleotides) under Hypoptychus dybowskii (Korean sandeel). RNAcentral's name for it is "tRNA-Leu". It matches the Rfam family "tRNA". From Rfam's summary of the family: Transfer RNA (tRNA) molecules are approximately 80 nucleotides in length. Their secondary structure includes four short double-helical elements and three loops (D, anti-codon, and T loops). Lineage: Eukaryota; Metazoa; Chordata; Actinopteri; Perciformes; Hypoptychidae. The record is from RNAcentral.